This 654-nucleotide ribosomal RNA is filed under the name bacterium YG-76. RNAcentral's name for it is "bacterial SSU rRNA". It matches the Rfam family "Bacterial small subunit ribosomal RNA", at positions 786 to 1439 of the family's 1533-position model. The record is from RNAcentral.
CCUGGUAGUCCACGCUGUAAACGAUGUCGACUUGGAGGUUGUGCCCUUGAGGCGUGGCUUCCGGAGCUAACGCGUUAAGUCGACCGCCUGGGGAGUACGGCCGCAAGGUUAAAACUCAAAUGAAUUGACGGGGGCCCGCACAAGCGGUGGAGCAUGUGGUUUAAUUCGAUGCAACGCGAAGAACCUUACCUACUCUUGACAUCCACGGAAUUCGCCAGAGAUGGCUUAGUGCCUUCGGGAACCGUGAGACAGGUGCUGCAUGGCUGUCGUCAGCUCGUGUUGUGAAAUGUUGGGUUAAGUCCCGCAACGAGCGCAACCCUUAUCCUUUGUUGCCAGCACGUAAUGGUGGGAACUCAAAGGAGACUGCCGGUGAUAAACCGGAGGAAGGUGGGGAUGACGUCAAGUCAUCAUGGCCCUUACGAGUAGGGCUACACACGUGCUACAAUGGCAUAUACAAAGAGAAGCGAACUCGCGAGAGCAAGCGGACCUCAUAAAGUAUGUCGUAGUCCGGAUUGGAGUCUGCAACUCGACUCCAUGAAGUCGGAAUCGCUAGUAAUCGUAGAUCAGAAUGCUACGGUGAAUACGUUCCCGGGCCUUGUACACACCGCCCGUCACACCAUGGGAGUGGGUUGCAAAAGAAGUAGGUAGCUUAAC